Molecule: long non-coding RNA, 5231 nt
Filed under: Trifolium pratense (red clover)
Lineage: Eukaryota; Viridiplantae; Streptophyta; Magnoliopsida; Fabales; Fabaceae
Description: long non-coding RNA (TPRA_LNC000101)
Source: RNAcentral
AAAUAAUGAAAAUGCAUACACAAUACUAAUAAAAUUCAAAUUUUAUAACUGAGAUUAAGAUUAGCAUAAAUGGAUAUCCAGAAUAUUUUUGUACUGUCGAAAAAUUCAACAUCGAAACAGAAUUGUGCUUCACAACACAUGAACCAGUUCUAAAUUUGAACAUUGAUGCAUCCAACGUUCUGAACAAGUAAAAAUGUACAUCCUCUUGCAUCUUCCAUUUAUUAAAUAACACAACGCACCGUCGGCAACAACACUCAAAAUGAAAGGAAUGACCAUUCAAGUUAUAAAAAUUUCAAAACGGAAAAUUUUGUUGUUUGGCAUUGCCAAGAAAGAGAUCCUAAAUUAUUAAAUUUUCGCAAUUAUAGAUAAAGAACAAAAUGAGAUGGGUGUGUGAUUAUGUUGCUGAUUCCUUGGCAAUCUUCUCUGCCUUGGCAAUGACUUCAUCAAUACCACCAACCAUAUAAAAUGCCUGUUCUGAAAGGUCAUCGUAUUUGCCAUCCAACACACCCUGCAAGUUAUAGGAUAACAAAAGGUUAUUAAUAAUCAUAGCUUUUCAGAAGUUAGUUAAAAACUUAUUUAAAAGUUGGUCAAAAUAAACUACUAUAGACAAUCGCUAAAUACUUAGAACAAGUUUUUUUUUUAAACAAAUCACAAAUUAAAAAAACCCUACAUAUAACAAGUAUCGAAAAAUAAUUCCUAAGGAAUAGGUCAAGCACAAAGAAAGAGGUCCAUUUCAGAUAGCAAAAUGCAUAAUUUCUAGCAAGUCCCAAUUCAGUAAAGAAGGAGCAAACUUAACGCCUGCCCGAAAAAUUAGCAGGUGCUUUGAAAGUAAAAACAGACUAAGAAACUCCAAUUUUGAGAACUCAAUUUAAAAUGUAGAAGAGAAGAUAAUAAACCACAAGUAGAAAAAUAAAAUGACAGUAAACAAAAACUUAUCUGCCUAUGACAAUCAGGAAGAAAAUAGAGAAAAAUAAAUGAGGUCAAACAAAUAAGAACCUGGAAACUUUGAGUGUUCUCCUUCAACUCAACAUAUUUGCCUGGGGCACCAGUGAAAACUUCAGCCACAUGGAAAGGCUGGCUUAAGAACCGUUGAAUUUUACGGGCACGUGCAACAGUCAAUUUAUCAUCUUCACUGAGCUCAUCCAUUCCCAAAAUUGCAAUGAUAUCCUGAAGAUUCUUGUAAUUUUGAAGAACUUGUUGUACACCACGAGCAGUUUGGUAGUGCUCAUCACCCAAAAUAAGUGGAGAAAGCAUACGAGAUGUUGAAUCCAAUGGAUCCACGGCAGGAUAGAUACCAAGCUCAGAGAUCUAUAUUCAAAUAACAUCAUUUAGUUCAUGAUGAUAACCAAAAAAAUAUCAUAAUUGCCACUUCAGUUUAAUUAAUUAAUAUUAAUAUAAUAAUCAAACCUGUCUUGACAACACUGUUGUAGCAUCCAAGUGAGCAAAUGUGGUAGCAGGAGCAGGAUCUGUCAAGUCAUCAGCAGGCACAUAGAUAGCUUGGACAGAGGUAAUUGAACCCUUCUUGGUGGUUGUAAUACGCUCUUGAAGACCUCCAAGAUCGGUAGACAAUGUUGGUUGGUAACCAACAGCAGAUGGAAUACGACCAAGCAAGGCAGACACCUCGGAGUUAGCCUACAGUUGCAUCAUGCAUUAAUAUAAAAUGAUAAGAAUGACGAGAACAAUAUCAAUCUAUAUAAAACACUAUACACCUAACAUUAGGGUUGUUCAUGGUUUGGUCAGAAAAGAAAAUCAAACCAAACCCAAAAAACAGUAUAAUGAACCAAAUUGAAUUGCUUGUGAAACUGGUUACAAGGUUCUUAUGCUUCUAUACAGAACUAGUUCUAAAUUUUAUGAUUUUAACUGGUGCCUUUUACGGAACACAAAGAACAAGAUAUGUAAAUUACUCAACAAAACUAAAAAACAAUAUUAAACAAUCUGUUUAAAAUAUCAGAAGUUCAGUUUGUUUUAGUUUGGUUAAAAAGUGGUUUGGUGCGGUUUGCAGCUCGGUUUAUCAAAAAAAAUCCAAACCCCUAUCAAACAGGUGCGCAUUAGUGUUGGGCACUGAGAUGUGUUUGAUUUAAAGUUUGGUGCUUACUUGAGUAAAGCGGAAAAUGUUGUCAACGAAAAGAAGCACAUCUUGUCCUUCAGCAUCACGGAAGUGUUCAGCAACAGUAAGUCCAGUAAGACCAACACGGGCACGAGCACCAGGGGGCUCAUUCAUUUGACCGUACACAAGGGCACAUUUGCUUUCACUCUGAAAAUGAAAUAACCAUGAUUAACAACUUUGAUAAAUGAAAAUAUUAUGAAUAGUAUUAUUGAAUGUGUACCAUGAAUAAUAGCAUUGUAUUUACCUGUUUAUCACCCAACUUAAUGACCCCACUCUCAAUCAUUUCUCUGUACAAGUCAUUACCCUCUCUGGUUCGUUCUCCAACCCCAGCAAACACAGAGAAACCACCUAAUAAAUGGAAACAUCAGCAUAAAUCACAGAAAAAUAGCAUCUCUACAAGAAUAAGUUAAGUAAACUAAGUUAGCAUAUACCAUGAGCCUUAGCAACAUUGUUGAUAAGCUCCAUAAUAAGCACAGUCUUUCCUACACCGGCACCACCAAACAACCCGAUCUUUCCUCCCCUUUGGUAUGGUGCAAGCAGGUCAACAACCUGUACGAAAAUUUACGCAAAAAUGGUAUAAAGCCAUUAGACAAUUGAACAUAUAAAGAUUUAAGGAAAGAGGGUUGAUGCAUUCACAAAUACCUUGAUACCGGUAACAAGGAUCUCUUGCUCAGUUGCUUGCUCAACAAAAGCAGGAGCUUCUCUGUGAAUGGGCAAAUAGUGCUCGGUUUCUAAGGAAAUUCACAAAAAUCAUCAUUAGUUGAAAACAUUCCAUGGAAUUGUCAAAUAAAACUUUAUUAUAUAAAUUGAACUUAAAAAAAUAUCAAGCUUUCUCUUACUGAAUUCGCCCUUUUCAUCAAUAGGUUCUCCGAUAACAUUCAUGAUACGACCAAGGGUAGCCCUACCAACAGGAACCUAAAAGGAACACACAAGUUAAUAAUAAAAUCUUAAUUAUCCAAACAUUAAACAAAGGAUUGCAAAUCCAUAAUGCAAAAUGCAAGUCUAAAAGUAAGUUGAGAACUGGAGCAAAUGCCACCAUAGUAUGUAGGAUAAGAUCAAAACAAAUUAUGUAGAUUAUUUGUAAAUUAAUAAAAACUGUAUUAAGCAAAUGCCACCAUAGUAUGGGAAAAUUAAGGUUGAAAAAGUACACAGAAAUCUGGAAGAAAUACAAUGAAAAAUAUAAUGAAAUUGAAGGAUAUGUGCAUCAAACAAUCAACCAAGGAAUGCUUUCUGUUUUCAUUUCUUGCUUUUACUUAGAAUUGCAAAAAUGUAGCAAGUAUUCACUCUACUUUUAAAUUGUAAAGAGAACAAUUUUAUUAUUAAAAGGGAAUACAGGAAAUGUAAACAUAUAUAAUUUACUGAAACCAAACAGGCCAUAACGUACUUUCAAUGUACACAAACAAUGUGACAGGAAAAAAUGAGUUACAAACAUGAAUUUCGACUGAUCGAUAUCAUCAUCGGUCCAAUUGAUGGAAGAAAGCAGAGGACCAAUAAUUUAAAACAAUAAAUUGAUUUCAUCCAACAAACAUAAAGUGGCAAACUCGCAUACACAAUCAAAACACAAAAUUAAAAACCAAAUCAAAUUCUCAUUUCAAAAAACACAAAAUUUGUCAAUUGCAUAAAGGCAAAAAAUGCAUCCAGAUCCACAAUACGCAACCAAAAUAUUCAGAUAAAAAUUGAUCGGAAAAUCAGAUCUUAUAAUCCACAAAGACCAAAAUAGUUUUAAAAAAAAUCAGAAAUUGCAACCAAAAAAUGAAAAUUCAAAACAAAUAAGAGGAAAAUGAUUAGGUAUAUACACUGAUAGGAGAUCCAGUGUUGAGCACGCGCCAUCCUCUAACAACUCCUUCAGUUGCAUCCAUGGCAAUAGUUCUCACAACACCUUCACCCAAAUGCUGUGCAACUUCCAACACCAAUCGUGAAGUAUGAUCCAAAACCUCAAGAGCGGUCAAGAUCGGAGGCAAACCCUCCUCGAAUCUGACGUCAACGACGGCACCGAUAACUUNNNNNNNNNNNNNNNNNNNNNGAUAACUUGGCAAACGUGUCCGAUCGCACCUUUACCAGUAAACUCAUCGGUGAUUUUACCACCUCCGGGAACCUCCUUCUUCGCCGGAGGAGUAGAUGGUGCUGUAGCAGCCGCGGCGGCAGUUGCAUAAUCGGCGACACGAUUCAGAAGGUAACCAUAGGGGGAAGCGCGAGAUUGAGAUGUGAGCCUCGAUGUUGAGGCGGAAAUUGAGGGUUUGGAUGAAGAUCUACGAAGAGAAGAACGAAUCAGAGAAGAUACNNNNNNNNNNNNNNNNNNNNNNNNNNNNNNNNNNNNNNNNNNNNNNNNNNNNNNNNNNNNNNNNNNNNNNNNAGAGAGUGUGGCACUUUAUAGCAGAAAUUGCUAAACCAAAAGUUAUAUUCUUCGAUUUUCGCCUCUAUUCUUUUUCUAAUUUUCAAUUUUGACCUCAUAGUUUUUUGUUUUUUUCAUUUACUCCAUUAAAUUAAAUAGGUAAUUAAUAAUUUGGUCAAAAAAUGUUAAUAAUCAAUAAUGAAUAAUAAAUAAUAAAUUCCAAUUUGAAAAGUAGUAUAUAGUAUAUGAUUAAAAAAUUAGCAUAUUUUGGAGGAAAAAAAAUUUACUACCUUGUAGAAAUGACAAAAUCAUAUAUUAUACUAUGUUUUUUAACUCUCCAAAAUUAUGGCUUCACAUACACACCGACCAGUUGUUGUUAGUUUUGUGACAAUGAUGUCUUGCAUCCAAUAUCCAAGUAAGCAAGUAGAAUAAAGUAAAAUUGUACAUGCUCAUCUCAUGCUUCUUUCCCCUUUUAUUGAUUAAAUAAAUAAAUUACACAACGGUAAAUAAAAAGGGGUAUAAGCAAUGGUUCAUCUUACAUCCGAAACAAUAUUAAAAUGAAAGGAAUUUUACCUGGCAAAAUUUUUAACAAUGAAAGAGAUCCUAAAUUAUUUUGCAAUUAUAAAUUAAAAAAAAAAUAUGAAUGAGAAAAGCUUUGUGUGUGAAUUGUGAUUAAGACGUUUCAUUUUCCUUAGCAAUCUUCUGUCCCUUUGCAAUGACUUCAUCAAUACCACCAACCAUGUAAAAUGCCUGCUCAGGCAGGUCAUCAUAUUUGCCAUCCAACACACCCUG